This 253-nucleotide ribosomal RNA is filed under the name uncultured bacterium. RNAcentral describes it as "partial 16S ribosomal RNA". It matches the Rfam family "Bacterial small subunit ribosomal RNA", at positions 524 to 776 of the family's 1533-position model. The record is from RNAcentral.
UACAGAGGUGGCAAGCGUUGUUCGGAAUUACUGGGCGUAAGGGGCGCGUAGGCGGCCAUCUAAGUCAGACGUGAAAUCCCCCGGCUUAACCUGGGAACUGCGUCUGAUACUGGACGGCUUGAGUAUGGGAGAGGGAUGUAGAAUUCCAGGUGUAGCGGUGAAAUGCGUAGAUAUCAGGAGGAACACCCAUUGCGAAGGCAGCUCGCUGGGACGUUACUGACGCUGAGACGCGAAAGCGUGGGGAGCAAACAGG